GGAGGAGAUGGUGAAGGUGGGGGAGGACUCACGUACUGGUAAGGAGGUGGAGGAGAUGUUGUUGGUGGUGGAGGGGACUUGUAGUAGUAGGGAGGAUGAGAAGAGGGAGAUGGAGGAGGAGGACUUUGAUAGUAAUAAGGAGGUGGUGGAGAUGGAGAUGGAGGUGGGGGAGAUUUGUAAUAGUAGGGAGGUGGUGGUGAUGGGGAUGGUGGUGGAGGUGAUUUGUAAUAGUAGGGUGGAGGUGGGGAAGGUGAUGGUGGUGGGGGAGAUUUAUAGUAGUAUGGAGGAGGGGGGGAUGGCGAUGGUGGGGGUGGUGACUUAUAGUAGUAUGGAGGGGGAGGGGAUGGUGAUGGUGGUGGAGGGCUUUUGUAGUAAUAAGGUGGUGGAGGAGAAGGUGAUGGUGGAGGUGGAGAUUUGUAGUAGUAUGGAGGCUUAACCACAGGUGAUGGUGGAGGUGGAGACUUGUAAUAGUAUGGAGGCUUAACCACUGGUGAUGGUGGUGGGGGGGAUUUAUAAUAGUAUGGAGGAGGUGGAGAGGGUGAUGGUGGAGGGGGGCUCUUGUAAUAGUAAGGAGGUGGAGGAGAAGGUGAUGGUGGAGGUGGAGACUUGUAAUAGUAUGGAGGCUUAACCACGGGCGAUGGUGGUGGGGGACUCUUGUAGUAGUAAGGUGGUGGAGGAGAAGGUGAUGGUGGAGGGGGGCUCUUGUAGUAGUAAGGGGGUGGAGGAGAAGGUGAUGGUGGAGGUGGAGACUUGUAAUAGUAUGGAGGCUUAACCACUGGUGAUGGUGGUGGGGGAGAUUUAUAAUAGUAAGGAGGCGGUGGAGAGGGUGAUGGUGGAGGUGGAGACUUGUAAUAGUAUGGAGGCUUAACCACGGGCGAUGGUGGUGGGGGACUCUUGUAGUAGUAAGGUGGUGGAGGAGAAGGUGAUGGUGGAGGUGGAGAUUUGUAAUAGUAUGGUGGAGGAGGAGAGGGUGAUGGUGGAGGUGGAGAAUUGUAAUAGUAUGGAGGCUUAACUACGGGUGAGGGUGGUGGGGGAGAUUUGUAGUAGUAUGGUGGCUUAACAACGGGUGAGGGUGGAGGGGGACUCUUGUAGUAGUAAGGAGGUGGGGGAGAAGGUGAUGGUGGAGGUGGGGAUUUGUAGUAGUAUGGAGGCUUAACCACAUGUGAUGGUGGAGGUGGGGAUUUGUAUAUGUAAACUGGUGAUGGAGGAGGAGGUGAUUUGUAGUAAUAAGGAGUUGGUGAAGGUUUGGGUUUUUCACAUUCUGCAAAAUGCUUCUUUGAAGCAUAAGCAAAUGGCUUAGCUUUGAGCACAACUUCAUACUUGUCCUUGGAUUUCACCUUCAACUUGGUUGCCUCAUUUAGCUUAGUGGGUACGGUGAAAGGUGAGCCCUUAGGUGGUGCAUAGAGCUCAGCCGUGCAUACUGUGGGUCCAUAUUUAACAUAGUCGAAGUCCUUAACUGUGAUGCUGUACUUUCCAUUGCUCUUGGUUUCACCAUAAGCCUUAAUAAUGUUACUUCCAGCUUUGCAUUUCACCUCCACAACAGCACCUGCUCAAUAUGAAAAUAAUUGCAAUUCAUAAAUCAUAUAUGUUAAGACAAAUUAUAUUUUUGGGCAGCAUUACUAAAAUAAAAGGUGGGUAAAACUAUCCUUAUCAUAUAAUAACAUAAUAUAUUAGCCAGCGUUACUAUGAGUAACUAGUUAAAUUAUCCUUGUCAUUUCAUUGCUUGCUUUAUUAAUUACAGGCUGCAAGCGGUUCUAACUGAAUAUAUAUAAUUUUAGAUAGGAUUUAGUAUGUCAUUUUUUAGUAUUUAGUAAAAAAAUGUUGGUUAGGUAAUAAUACGACAGUGGUUUUACAUUUUAGCUUGAAUUGCCUAUUAACCCGAUUGCUAAUAGUAACCAAUUAAUCUGACUGUCAUAUUAUUAGUUUGUGGAAAAAGGAUAAUAUAUGAAUAUAUUUAUUUGCUUAAGUUGUUUCAAGGUAGAGUAAUCGAGUUUAGUAAACUAUUCUCAAACUUCAAUUAGCAAUGUCUUGCUAACUUUUACGAUUUGAUUAUGCAUUUAGCGCGAAUUCCAAAAAUAAUAGGAAAUUAAAAUAAUUAGUAUCGAAAUGAGACAACUAAGAAUAAUUGUUUGUGUAGAAGCUUAGAGUAAAGAUGGUUAAAAUAUAUAAGCCUAACCCAAAAAUGACAUAGAUAGAGGAUCAAAAUAAAAGGAUAAAGAAAUAAUUGUAAUGUACCUCGGAGGUGGUGCUUGUCGUGGGACUUGUUAGGAUAUUCCCAAUCAUAGCACUUGAAGCUAUAGACCUUACCGACUACCUUUACAAUCAAUGAGUGGUGGUGGGGAUGUGGAGGAUAAACCACCGGUGGAGGAGGAGAACUGUAAUAAUAAGGUGUGUGUGAAGGAGGAGGAGGAGGAGAUUUGUAGUAGUAUGGCGUUGGAGCUGGAGACUUCACAGGUGGAGGAGGGGACUUGUAAUAGUAAGGUGGUAGAGGAGAUGGUGAAGGUGGAGGAGGAGAUUUAUAGUAGUAAUGUGUGGGAGCUGGAGACUUAACUGGUGGAGGAGGAGAUUUAUAGUAGUAAGGUGUGGGAGCUGGAGACUUAACCGGUGGGGGAGGAGAUUUAUAGUAGUAAGGUGUGGGAGCUGGAGACUUAACUGGUGGAGGUGGGGACUUAUAAUAGUAAGGAGUGGGUGUUGAAGACUUAACUGGUGGAGGUGGGGAUUUGUAGUAGUAAGGUGGGGGUGGUGAUGAUGACGGUGGUGGUGGAGACUUAUAGUAGUAAGGAGUGGGUGUUGGAGACUUGACUGGUGGAGGUGGGGACUUGUAGUAGUACGGUGGUGGAGGAGAUGGUGAAGGUGGUGGUGGGGACUUAUAAUAGUAAGGAGUGGGUGUUGGAGACUUAACUGGUGGAGGUGGGGAUUUGUAGUAGUAAGGUGGGGGUGGUGAUGGUGAUGGUGGUGGUGGGGACUUAUAGUAGUAAGGAGUGGGUGUUGGAGACUUAACUGGUGGAGGUGGGGACUUGUAGUAGUAAGGUGGUGGAGGAGAUGGAGACGGUGGUGGUGGGGACUUAUAGUAGUAAGGAGUGGGUGUUGGAGACUUAAUUGGUGGAGGUGGAGAUUUGUAGUAGUAAGGUGGGGGUGGUGAUGAUGAUGGUGGUGGUGGGGACUUAUAAUAGUAAGGAGUGGGUGCUGGAGACUUAACCGGUGGAGGUGGGGACUUGUAGUAGUAAGGUGGUGGAGGAGAUGGUGAAGGUGGUGGUGGGGACUUGUAGUAGUAAGGUGGGGGUGGUGAUGGUGACGGUGGUGGUGGGGACUUAUAGUAGUAAGGAGUGGGUGCUGGAGACUUAACUGGUGGGGGUGGAGACUUGUAGUAGUAAGGUGGUGGAGGAGAUGGUGAAGGUGGUGGUGGGGACUUAUAAUAGUAAGGAGUGGGUGUUGGAGAGUUAACUGGUGGAGGUGGGGAUUUGUAGUAGUAAGGUGGGGGUGGUGAUGGUGAUGGUGGUGGUGGAGACUUAUAGUAGUAAGGUGGAGGGGGUGAAGGUGAUGGAGGUGGUGGAGACUUGUAGUAGUAUGGUGUUGGAGUUGGGGAUUUAACAGGUGGUGGUGGAGACUUGUAAUAGUAAGGUGGAGGAGGUGAUGGUGAUGGAGGUGGUGGAGACUGGUAGUAGUAUGGCUUUGGAGCUGGUGACUUAACUGGUGGAGGUGGGGACUUGUAGUAGUAAGGUGGUGGAGGUGAUGGUGAAGGUGGUGGGGGUGAUUUGUAAUAGUAAGGUGGUGGGGGAGAUGGUGAAGGGGGUGGUGGGGACUUGUAGUAGUAUGGUGGAGGGGGUGAUGGAGAUGGAGGGGGUGGAGACUUGUAGUAAUAAGGCUUUGGGGCUGGGGAUUUAACUGGUGGUGGGGGAGACUGGUAGUAGUAAGGUGGUGGGGGUGAGGGAGAGGGUGGUGGGGGAGACUUGUAGUAGUAAGGAGGUGGAGGUGA
Molecule: long non-coding RNA, 3976 nt
Filed under: Lupinus angustifolius (narrow-leaved blue lupine)
Lineage: Eukaryota; Viridiplantae; Streptophyta; Magnoliopsida; Fabales; Fabaceae
Description: long non-coding RNA (LANG_LNC002865)
Source: RNAcentral